AUCACCGGGGGACCUUGUUAAAAUGCACAUUCUGAUGCAGCAUGUCUGGGGUGGAGCCCAACACUCUGCAUUUCUAACAAGCUCCCAGGAGAUGCCAA
RNAcentral lists this microRNA precursor (98 nucleotides) under Oryctolagus cuniculus (rabbit). RNAcentral's name for it is "mir-544 microRNA precursor family". It matches the Rfam family "mir-544 microRNA precursor family". The record is from Rfam by way of RNAcentral. Lineage: Eukaryota; Metazoa; Chordata; Mammalia; Lagomorpha; Leporidae.